CGAAAAUCUCCUGUAUGGACAGCACAUGCGGCUUUACGUCGGCCGUGUCGUCGGGAUAUCCUGCCGCCGCUUUGGGCAAGAUUGUCUUCAGGAGGAGCCGUAGGGACUCAGGGCUGACUUUCUCUCCGCCAGAAGGGGGAUUCACGCUACGCUGUGGCAUGGAGAAGAAAUGCAUUUCUUCACACUGGUGUGCACUGGAGCAUCUAAAUGUACAUUUAAAUGAAUACCUUGCCCAUGACUUGAGGUCAUGAGACUGACCUGGAAAUUCCUUGACUUUUAGUGCCACUUUGACCUCUUGGUUAAAGAGUCCACACCCCUUCAUAAAAUCUGUAAGUGAAUAAUGAUUAACUGUAAUGUGUUCCUUUAGGCUUUGGUAGGAGGAUUCUCCUGUUAAACAUAUUUAUGUUUUACUUUAAGUUUUCCCUUACUGCUGCAGAGUUCUAAUUGAAAUAAUUAGCAGUAAUACUGAAUUAUACAAUCAUCCAUUUUCUGUGUUUGCCUAAAAGUAAUCAAUCAAGUUGAUCAAAUAUCAUCAAAGUCCAGUCUCUUAUUGCGAAAUUUUUGUUCCAUUUUCUGUUGCGGUCAGUUUCUCUUCAUCUUUUUCUUUUUAAAGUUUUGGGAGCUCGUCCUUUUGGUUUGUAUUUUAUGGCUGUUGUCACAAACCAACUGUGGACCCAUGACUCGACUUUUAGGAAUGUUUUAG
Long non-coding RNA from Oryzias latipes (Japanese medaka), 703 nucleotides. RefSeq lists it as uncharacterized. NCBI's taxonomy places the organism in Eukaryota, Metazoa, Chordata, Actinopteri, Beloniformes, Adrianichthyidae. The record is from RefSeq and is a predicted model, not a curated record.